AUUGAACGCUGGCGGCAUGCCUUACACAUGCAAGUCGAACGGCAGCACGGGUGCUUGCACCUGGUGGCGAGUGGCGAACGGGUGAGUAAUACAUCGGAACAUGUCCUGUAGUGGGGGAUAGCCCGGCGAAAGCCGGAUUAAUACCGCAUACGAUCCAUGGAUGAAAGCGGGGGACCUUCGGGCCUCGCGCUAUAGGGUUGGCCGAUGGCUGAUUAGCUAGUUGGUGGGGUAAAGGCCUACCAAGGCGACGAUCAGUAGCUGGUCUGAGAGGACGACCAGCCACACUGGGACUGAGACACGGCCCAGACUCCUACGGGAGGCAGCAGUGGGGAAUUUUGGACAAUGGGCGAAAGCCUGAUCCAGCAAUGCCGCGUGUGUGAAGAAGGCCUUCGGGUUGUAAAGCACUUUUGUCCGGAAAGAAAUCCUUGGCUCUAAUACAGUCGGGGGAUGACGGUACCGGAAGAAUAAGCACCGGCU
RNAcentral lists this ribosomal RNA (477 nucleotides) under Burkholderia cepacia. Its description in RNAcentral is "bacterial SSU rRNA". It matches the Rfam family "Bacterial small subunit ribosomal RNA", at positions 30 to 498 of the family's 1533-position model. The record is from RNAcentral. Lineage: Bacteria; Pseudomonadati; Pseudomonadota; Betaproteobacteria; Burkholderiales; Burkholderiaceae.